This 272-nucleotide long non-coding RNA is filed under the name Nicotiana benthamiana. RNAcentral describes it as "long non-coding RNA (NBEN_LNC014890)". The record is from RNAcentral. Lineage: Eukaryota; Viridiplantae; Streptophyta; Magnoliopsida; Solanales; Solanaceae.
UUGGGCAAUCCUCACCUCAUAAGCUAGCUUUUGGGGUUGAGUUCGGCCCAAUGUCCAUUCUUAUCAUGGUAUCAGAGCCAGGCCCAUCCCAAUUAUUGAUACCGAUGUUGGGCCCCAUUUAUGUUGUCCACGCUCCAGAGAUCUGGGCGUGAUGGGGGGUGUUGAGUUGUCCCACAUCGGAGGGAUUUGAGGUCCUUGGUCUCCUUAUAUGGCUUGGGCAAUCCUCACCUCAUAAGCUAGCUUUCGGGGUAGAGUUAGGCCCAAUGUCCAUU